Neofelis nebulosa (Clouded leopard) is the source of this 1218-nucleotide long non-coding RNA. RefSeq lists it as uncharacterized. The record is from RefSeq and is a predicted model, not a curated record. NCBI's taxonomy places the organism in Eukaryota, Metazoa, Chordata, Mammalia, Carnivora, Felidae. The transcript is spliced from 4 exons.
GAGGAGGGGCUGGGCACCUGAACAGAAGCAGCGCUGCGUGGCGGAGUGAAGGCCUGGAGGCUGACGUUCGGUUGAUGACCGCUGGAUGGAAAGACACAGUGGCCACGGAGGGUUCCAGCUGAACACCGCCCAGCUGGGCAGCACUGAAGUCCCUGACCGCUUUCCACCGUCACAGACACGGCCCCAAAUAGCCCUUGCGAAUACAACUCUCCGGCUGGACUACAAUGCGCCAUGAGGUGACAGUGAUUGCACGAAGGUGGCAGAAAGAUACAACUCAUCAAUGGGAGACAGGCACCAGAACAUUCACGGUUAUCUGCGGGACGAAACCAAGACCCCAGUUUCCCUCUGGGGCCAUGCAGCCCCAGCCAGCCAGCAAGGCUUACAGCUGUGGCCCCUGCCCCCGACUCUCCCGUGGGUCUCCCCAGCUGGCCCAGUCUAGGAGGCCUUCCAGCCUCCAAGUCCACCCAGGCCAAGACCUGAAUGUGCAACUCUCCAAAAUGAGCACUAAACACCCAAAGCAGGCCAGUUCCUUAUGCCCUUUCUCAGUCCCACCCACUUACCCAGAGGUAGCGGGGUCGGGGAGGGAGGAGGCACAGGGCCAAUCAACUGUUACCUUGCAUAUAUCCUUCUCUUUAUAAUAUUACUUAAUCCUUACAACGACACCUUGCGCCAAGUACCACACCUAUAAAUACCCCUACUUUACAGAUAAGGAAGCAGGCAACUGGGCAAAGUCACUCAGCUAUUAAGUGGCUCAAAUAAUAUCCAUUAAUCAAUCAGCCUUACAAAAGGGGCAAAAAAGAACACCAAGACUGUAAUGACAAAGUUGGUUACUCUUCUGUGCUUAUCACAGAGAACCAUCUGCCCACUGGCUGCCCUUCUGGUAAAAAGUGGACAUUAUUCCUAACAGCCAAAAAGUGGUAAGAAUCCAAACAGCCAUCAACUGGUGAACAGAUCAACAAAAUGUGGUAUAUUCAUAAAAUUAAAUACCAUUCAACAAUAAAGAGCUGUUGAACAAAGUACGAAUACAUGCUACAAUAUAGAUGAACCUUGAAAACAUGAUGCCAAGAAACCAAAGUCAGACACAAAACACGACAUAUUGUAUGAAUAUACUUAUACGAAAUGUCCAGAAAAGGCAAAUCUACAGGGAUAGGAAGUAAAUGAUUGCCUACAGCUGGAGGCUGGAAGGGGCCCGACUGCAAACGGGCAUAAGGGGUCUUU